Molecule: ribosomal RNA, 405 nt
Filed under: uncultured bacterium
Lineage: Bacteria
Description: bacterial SSU rRNA
Rfam family: Bacterial small subunit ribosomal RNA
Source: RNAcentral
GGGGAAUAUUGGGCAAUGGGCGAAAGCCUGACCCAGCAACGCCGCGUGAAGGAAGAAGGUUUUCGGAUUGUAAACUUCUGUCCUCAGGGAAGAAGGAAGUGACGGUACCUGAGGAGGAAGCCCCGGCUAACUACGUGCCAGCAGCCGCGGUAAUACGUAGGGGGCGAGCGUUGUCCGGAAUGACUGGGCGUAAAGGGCGCGUAGACGGUUUUUUAAGCCUGAGGUGAAAGGUUGGGGCUCAACCCCAUACAGUGCCUUGGGGACUGGUAGUCUGGAGGCAGGCAGAGGUGCGUGGAAUUCCUGGUGUAGCGGUGGAAUGCGUAGAUAUCAGGAAGAACACCCGUGGCGAAGGCGGCGCACUGGGCCUGUACUGACGCUGAGACGCGAAAGCGUGGGGAGCGAACG